Molecule: ribosomal RNA, 287 nt
Filed under: Poecilia reticulata (guppy)
Lineage: Eukaryota; Metazoa; Chordata; Actinopteri; Cyprinodontiformes; Poeciliidae
Description: partial small subunit ribosomal RNA
Source: RNAcentral
AGCAUACCCUGUGAAGGAAACAUAGUAAGCAAAACUGGUAAAACCCAAAACGCCAGGUCGAGGUGUAGCAUACGAAAAGGAAAGAAAUGGGCUACAUUUCCUACUUUUAGGAAAAACGAAUUGUGUUAUGAAACAGCACAUGAAGGAGGAUUUAGCAGUAAGAAGAAAACAGAGUGUUCUACUGAACCCGGCCCUGAAGCACGCACACACCGCCCGUCACCCUCCCCAAAUCAAAAUACAUCUUUUUUUAAAAAUUUACCAUAACCAAAGGGGAGGUAAGUCGUAAC